Molecule: long non-coding RNA, 230 nt
Organism: Xiphophorus hellerii (green swordtail)
Lineage: Eukaryota; Metazoa; Chordata; Actinopteri; Cyprinodontiformes; Poeciliidae
Exons: 2
Source: RefSeq, a predicted model, not a curated record
CCUUUCCCACAGGUCACACAUGAAAACAGUUUUCCACCAGUGUGAAUCAUCAUGUGCUCAGUUAAACUCUGUUUUUGAAUAAAACUUUUUCCACAGGUCACACAUGAAAACGGCUUUUCACUUGUGUGAGUCAUCAUAUGCCGAGUUAAAUGCUGUUUUAUACUAAAACUUUUUCCACAGGUCACACAUGAAAACGGCUUUUCACCAGUGUGAAUCAUCAUAUGCUUAGU